AUGUAAUCACAGAACCGGUUUUCAUUUUCGAUCUGACUUAUUUUUUCCACAAACGAGUGAGAUCACUUUGAAAGCUGAUUUUGUACAAUUAAUUCGA
This 97-nucleotide microRNA precursor is filed under the name Anopheles farauti. RNAcentral describes it as "microRNA bantam". The stretch from base 1 to 87 matches the Rfam family "bantam microRNA precursor family". The record is from RNAcentral. Lineage: Eukaryota; Metazoa; Arthropoda; Insecta; Diptera; Culicidae.